AGACCUGCGACAAGGGAAGGAAAGUGAGGGGCAGAGAUGUUCAGAGUUAGAAUUUUAGAAGGGAAAGUAAAGGGGGACUAUAGCAAAACACAGCCUCACCUGGCCUCCCAUAAAACUCCAUGUUUGAAUUUAGCUGUCACUUAUCUAUACUUCAUCAUAAAUUUGUUGAGUACCUACACUUUAUCAGACACUUUAAUAUUAGUGCUUAUUGCAUAGUAAUGAUCUUUUUUCUUCUCUCAUCCCCCAGCUGCCUGAGAAUUCUCACUGAACUGAGAUUGUCUUAUCUUUUUUAUCAGAAGAGAGUUUCACAGGAGAAAUCAUCGUGCCAGGCUGAUUCCUCUUAGCGAGAUUGGAUUCUCUCUCAUGAAUGAAAUCCAGACUUCUUAAUCUGGUGUUUGAGGACUCGACAACUGUGGUAAGCUAAGCAAUAUCCUCACGUUAUGUCCAUGCCCUAAUCCUCAGAAGCUGUGAAUGGAUUCUUUAGCAUAGCAGAAGGCACUUUGUGGUUAUGAUUAUGUUAAAGGGUUUGAGAUAGGGAUAUUAUCCUAUAUCCUGCAUGGACCCAGGUUAAUCUCGAGGAUCCUUAAAAGAGGGAGGCAGGAGGAACACAGGUCAGAGAGAGCAGAUUGAACACUCUUCUUCCAGGGCCAUGUCAUUUUCAGAUGCCUAUAAUUUGCCUGAACAUCGUCACUUCCCUACCUCCAUGAGUCCAGAGUCUCCCCAGCUUCCAAAUGCCACCUCCUUUUGGGAUUUUACUCCUUUCCAUCCUUGGAAUUUUACCUGCUCCUGCAUGAGGAUACCCAUAUGCCAGCACCUCAGCCUGCAAUCCCAAGUCCUGCCAGGGCCUCUUAAAAUUCCAGAAGAUGCGCACACAACCCCUGGAAGAAGGCUUUGGGCUAUGUAG
RNAcentral lists this long non-coding RNA (904 nucleotides) under Sus scrofa (pig). RNAcentral describes it as "lncRNA (ENSSSCG00070015624.1)". Lineage: Eukaryota; Metazoa; Chordata; Mammalia; Artiodactyla; Suidae. The record is from RNAcentral.